RNAcentral lists this unclassified non-coding RNA (335 nucleotides) under soil metagenome. RNAcentral's name for it is "partial contains 5.8S ribosomal RNA, internal transcribed spacer 2, and large subunit ribosomal RNA". The stretch from base 1 to 121 matches the Rfam family "5.8S ribosomal RNA", at positions 35 to 154 of the family's 154-position model. The record is from RNAcentral.
GAUGAAGAACGUAGUGAAAUGCGAUAAGUAAUGCGAAUUGCAGAAUUUCCGUGAGUCAUCGAAUCUUUGAACGCACAUUGCGCCCACUGGUAUUCCGGUGGGCAUGCCUGUUCGAGCGUCAUUUCAACCAUCAAGCCCCAGGCUUGCGUUGGAGCCCUGCGGCUGCCGCAGCCUCCUAAAAGCAGUGGCGGGCUCGCUAUCACACCGAGUGCAGUAGAUUACUCUUCGCUCAGGGCGUGCAGCGGGUUCCGGCCGUGAAACCCCCUACUUUUAAAGGUUGACCUCGGAUCAGGUAGGAAUACCCGCUGAACUUAAGCAUAUCAAUAAGCGGAGGA